AGUGAACGCUGGCGGUAGGCCUAACACAUGCAAGUCGAACGGCAGCACAGUAAGAGCUUGCUCUUACGGGUGGCGAGUGGCGGACGGGUGAGGAAUACAUCGGAAUCUACUUUUUCGUGGGGGAUAACGUAGGGAAACUUACGCUAAUACCGCAUACGACCUACGGGUGAAAGCAGGGGAUCUUCGGACCUUGCGCGAUUGAAUGAGCCGAUGUCGGAUUAGCUAGUUGGCGGGGUAAAGGCCCACCAAGGCGACGAUCCGUAGCUGGUCUGAGAGGAUGAUCAGACACACUGGAACUGAGACACGGUCCAGACUCCUACGGGAGGCAGCAGUGGGGAAUAUUGGACAAAGGGCGCAAGCCUGAUCCAGCCAUACCGCGUGGGUGAAGAAGGCCUUCGGGUUGUAAAGCCCUUUUGUUGGGAAAGAAAAGCAGCAGGUUAAUACCCCGCUGUUCGGACGGUACCCAAAGAAUAAGCACCGGCUAACUUCGUG
RNAcentral lists this ribosomal RNA (492 nucleotides) under uncultured bacterium. RNAcentral's name for it is "partial 16S ribosomal RNA". It matches the Rfam family "Bacterial small subunit ribosomal RNA", at positions 29 to 507 of the family's 1533-position model. The record is from RNAcentral.